AUGAUUAUGAGAUCCAAUAGCCACGGAGAGCUCUACCCAUUCUUCACCAACUCCGGCGUCCAAGAAGCUCUCUCCGUCAUCACCGGCGACCUCUGGCAUCAACGUUUGGGACAUGCUAGCAAUAAAUCCGUUUGUGCUUUAGCUCGUGAUUUACUUCCCUCAUGUAAUAAAGACUUGCCUAGCACCACUAUUUGCUCCUCAUGUAAAUUAGGCAAGCAGCCCCGGCUGCCCUUUUCCCUUUCUGUAUCAAAAACAAGUGCACCCUUUCAACUAGUUUAUUGUGAUUUGUGGACGUCCCCUGUUCUUAGUUUCUCCGGGUUCCAGUACUAUCUCGUUAUUCUAGAUGAUUAUACGCACUACUCGUGGACGUUCCCAUUACGCAACAAAUCUGACACUGCCAAUACUAUUUCCCGUUUCUUCUCUUACGUCCUUACGCAAUUUCAUACUUCCAUACAGUGCAUGCAGUGCGACAACGGCGGUGAAUUUCUCACCUCUUCGUUGCGUGACUUGUUUUCUCGUCACGGGGCUUUGUUUCGACUCUCAUGCCCUCCCACUUCGCCGCAGAAUGGGAAGGCCGAGCGCCUCAUCCGGACUACCAACGAUAUACUACACGUCCUCCUCAUCCAUGCCAAACUCCCACCCCCGUUCUGGGUCCAAGCACUUCACACGGCCACCUACAUUCUCAACCGACGACCUUGCACUGCCAUCAACUUCGUCACACCGUACUACCAGCUUCUAGGGCACCAUCCUACCUACGACCACAUGUGUGUGUUCGGCUGCCUUUGUUUUCCCAACACUGUUGCAACCGCGCCGCACGAACUCGCGCCCCGCUCAUCCCGCUGUGUUUUUCUUGGGUACCCCCUGGAGCACAAAGGCUACCGAUGCCUUGAUCUCUCCUCCCGUAAGGUUAUUAUCUCCAGGCACGUAACUUUUGACGAACAAGUUUUUCCCUAUCUCCCUCCCGAACCUGCACGGCGCACGACACCCUCAGCUGCCACAGAAAAUCCCGGGAUCCAAUCUAUCCCGAAAACCCGCGCGCCACCUACCUCGUACCGGUCACCGCGCCGAUCCUUCCACCCAACUCACGUGCCUCGGAUCGGCCGCUGGCCCCGCCUCUCCAGCCACUCCUCCCACGCCACGCCCGGGGCCACCACCACUCCACCCGCACGCCACGCCACACCCAGGGCUGCCACCAUGUCCAAACUCCACCGAGCCGACAGAAUCCCCUGGCGCAUGCACGUCCCGCCACGCCUCUCCUGGUCCACCAAACCUUCCGUCUGUGAACCCGCGCAUGCACCCGAUUGCACCCAUGCACCCACUCCCGACGCGCCACCUAUGCCGUCUCUCCCGCCCCGCGCUAUUCCCGUCGCUCCACCAGCAAAUUAG
Molecule: ribosomal RNA, 1386 nt
Filed under: Triticum aestivum (bread wheat)
Lineage: Eukaryota; Viridiplantae; Streptophyta; Magnoliopsida; Poales; Poaceae
Description: partial small subunit ribosomal RNA
Source: RNAcentral